GUGGUGUUUGGUUUGAUACGGGUGGUCGGAUCCCUGCUUGAGCAGGCACGGCCUCGCGUACAUUCCUUUUCAAUUGUGCGACAAGACUUGUAUCGUCUUGAUCGUAUAUGUGGGUUUCCUGUGUUGCAUACCUGAUCAAAGGAAUCGUCUAGAUCAAAAAAGUCCCUUUUUCGUCAAGCGUUGCCCUUGUGACGUCGGACGAACCAAGUAGCACCUUCUUUGAUCCAUCCCGUUGAUGUGCAUUCGUCAAUGGUUUGGCCCAUUGAGGAUUGCUUGGUCUCUCGGAUGUGGAAGCAUAAGUUGGCAUGGGGUCGUAUGAUCCUUUUAUUGCCCUCGUUGAGCGUUCUCGCUUCUCUAAAACGACUGCCUUUCACGUAUGGCACGUCCCAGCGUGUCUGGCUAACGUCGAAGAGGAAUGC
This 419-nucleotide unclassified non-coding RNA is filed under the name Celmisia mackaui. RNAcentral describes it as "partial external transcribed spacer". Lineage: Eukaryota; Viridiplantae; Streptophyta; Magnoliopsida; Asterales; Asteraceae. The record is from RNAcentral.